This 254-nucleotide ribosomal RNA is filed under the name uncultured bacterium. RNAcentral's name for it is "partial 16S ribosomal RNA". It matches the Rfam family "Bacterial small subunit ribosomal RNA", at positions 524 to 776 of the family's 1533-position model. The record is from RNAcentral.
GACGAACCGUGCGAACGUUAUUCGGAAUCACUGGGCUUAAAGCGCGUGUAGGCGGGUCGGCGCGUCGGUCGCUGAAAUCCCCCGGCUCAACCGGGGAAGGGGCGCCGAAACGGCCGGCCUGGAGGGACGUAGGGGGGGCUGGAACUUCCGGUGGAGCGGUGAAAUGCGUUGAGAUCGGAAGGAACGCCCGUGGCGAAAGCGAGCCCCUGGACGUCUACUGACGCUGAGACGCGAAAGCCAGGGGAGCGAACGGG